ACUGAAUCAGGUCGGCUUUGUGCAUUUAUUACUAAAGUAAAAAAAGGAAGUUUAGCUGAUACUGUAGGACAUCUUAGACCAGGUGAUGAAGUAUUAGAAUGGAAUGGAAGACUACUGCAAGGAGCCACAUUUGAGGAAGUGUACAACAUCAUUCUAGAAUCCAAACCUGAACCACAAGUAGAACUUGUAGUUUCAAGGCCUAUUGGAGAUAUACCGCGAAUACCUGAUAGCACACAUGCACAACUGGAGUCCAGUUCUAGCUCCUUUGAAUCUCAAAAAAUGGAUCGUCCUUCUAUUUCUGUUACCUCUCCCAUGAGUCCUGGAAUGUUGAGGGAUGUCCCACAGUUCUUAUCAGGACAACUUUCAGUAUGUAGUCAUUACAUUUACUCUUCUUUUUGGAAUAUCAAAUAGUGUUUUUAAAAUAUGAUGCUUGUUUUUUACAAACCAAGUUAUUCCUAGAACAUAAUUGUGCUUUUAACCUCCCACUUUCUCAUUCUUUUAAUUUUUGAAAUCCAAUUUUGAUUAUUUAUCAUACUGCUUCAUUUAUUAAGAGUUAGAUUUACUGAAAUUUAAUAAAAGUUACAUUUUGU
This 590-nucleotide small RNA is filed under the name Pan troglodytes (chimpanzee). RNAcentral's name for it is "retained intron". The record is from RNAcentral. Lineage: Eukaryota; Metazoa; Chordata; Mammalia; Primates; Hominidae.